CAGAACGAAGAACAUAUCAGGUUGCAGGUCCAAACUCAUUGUGGCACAUUGCUGGAAAUCACAAGCUGAUAAGGUGGAGGAUAGUCAUUGAUGGUGCUAUUGAUGGAUACAGUCGUCUUGUGGUCUUCCUUCAUGCCUCAAACAACAACCGUAGCAGUACCGUUUUAUCAAGUAUCAUCAGAGCCGUGUAUCCUAUGGUGUACCCUGGAGGGUCCGGACGGACAGAGGUGGGGAAAACAAUGCUGUCUGCCUGAUGAUGAACAUUUUCAGAGGCUUUGAUCGUGGAAGUGCCCUAAGAGGAAGGAGUACCCAUAAUCAGAGAACUGAGAGGCUCUGAGGUGAUCUGUGGCGAGGAAUGACCAAUGUCUACUGUGAUUUAUUUCACCACCUGGAGGAGGAAGGCAUCAUUGACAUUGACAAUGAAAUGCACCUUUGGGCUCUCCAUUACAUCUAUCUCCCAAGGAUCAACAGAGAUUUGAAAGACUUCACUCAACAGUGGAACAAUCAUGGCUUAUGGACAGAGAGACACUUGAGCCCAUUACAGAUUUUUGUCCGAGGCAGCCUCCUAGUAGAACUAUGUAAUCCACUAAGUGGCACCAGAGGGAGUCAUGGUAUUGAACUCAUCACUGGCUUAAUAUACUUUCUGGACUCCACAUAUCACUGAGACAGUUCAAUUAUUGACUGAAACAUAAUAGCAGCAAGUGGAAAGACUUCAAAAUAUCUAGGUGACUGGAUACAUAUAAUGUGAAAAGUUAUAAUACGUGUUUACUAUGUAACAUUGAGUAGUGGAGAUACAAGAACGAGCUGUGUGACACUGACAAUAAAAAAUGUUGAGUGAUUUUUAAAGUGUGUAAGAUGGAAGUUGUGAAAUGGAAAGUUUACAACUGAAACUGAAUCUCGAUAAAGUCAACUUGAUUAAUCUAAAAGUUACAGCUGUUGAUUUUGAUAAAUACAACUAUAAAGCAGUGACAGUAAAUAAUUAAAAA
Molecule: long non-coding RNA, 986 nt
Organism: Oreochromis aureus
Lineage: Eukaryota; Metazoa; Chordata; Actinopteri; Cichliformes; Cichlidae
Exons: 2
Source: RefSeq, a predicted model, not a curated record